UCCUUGAUAGUCCAGUGAUUAGGACUCUCUGCUUCCACGGCAGAGGGCCAAGGUUCAAGCCCUGGUCAGGGAA
Transfer RNA from Ovis aries (sheep), 73 nucleotides. It matches the Rfam family "tRNA". Rfam says of the family: Transfer RNA (tRNA) molecules are approximately 80 nucleotides in length. The record is from Rfam. Lineage: Eukaryota; Metazoa; Chordata; Mammalia; Artiodactyla; Bovidae.